UGCGGAAUUUUAGAUAAUGGAGGGAACUCUGAUCUAGCGACGCCGCGUGCAGGAGGAAGGUCUUCGGAUUGUAAACUGCUGUGGUAAGGGAAAAAUGCUAUCUAGAGUGGAAAGCUACAUAGAGGGAUGGUACCUUACUAGAAAGCCCCGGCUAACUACGUGCCAGCAGCCGCGGUAAUACGUAGGGGGCGAGCGUUACCCGGAAUCACCGGGCGUAAAGGGAGCGUAGGUGGCCUAACAUGUCAACUGUGAAAACCCGGAGCUCAACUCCGGACUUGCAGUUGAAACUGGUAGGCUUGAGGACGGUAGAGGAAGACGGAACUGCCAGUGUAGGGGUAAAAUCCUUAGAUAUUGGCAGGAACGCCGGUGACGAAGGUGGUUUUCUGGGCCGGUUCUGACACUGAUGCUCGAAAGCCAGGGGAGCGAACGG
This 430-nucleotide ribosomal RNA is filed under the name uncultured bacterium. RNAcentral describes it as "bacterial SSU rRNA". It matches the Rfam family "Bacterial small subunit ribosomal RNA", at positions 355 to 775 of the family's 1533-position model. The record is from RNAcentral.